Molecule: ribosomal RNA, 422 nt
Filed under: uncultured bacterium
Lineage: Bacteria
Description: bacterial SSU rRNA
Rfam family: Bacterial small subunit ribosomal RNA
Source: RNAcentral
UGAGGAAUAUUGGACAAUGGGCGCAAGCCUGAUCCAGCCAUGCCGCGUACAGGAAGAAGUAUCUAUGGUGUGUAAACUGCUUUUGUACGGGAAGAAACACUCCUUCGUGAAGGAGCUUGACGGUACCGUAAGAAUAAGGAUCGGCUAACUCCGUGCCAGCAGCCGCGGUAAUACGGAGGAUCCAAGCGUUAUCCGGAAUCAUUGGGUUUAAAGGGUCCGUAGGCGGUUUAGUAAGUCAGUGGUGAAAGCCCAUCGCUCAACGAUGGAACGGCCAUUGAUACUGCUAGACUUGAAUUAUUAGGAAGUAACUAGAAUAUGUGGUGUAGCGGUGAAAUGCUUAGAUAUUACAUGGAAUACCAAUCGCGAAGGCAGGUUACUACUAAUGGAUUGACGCUCAUGCACGAAAGCGUGGGGAGCAAACA